This 1252-nucleotide long non-coding RNA is filed under the name Olea europaea (common olive). Its description in RNAcentral is "long non-coding RNA (OEUR_LNC002616)". Lineage: Eukaryota; Viridiplantae; Streptophyta; Magnoliopsida; Lamiales; Oleaceae. The record is from RNAcentral.
UACAGCAAUAUUGAUUACCUCACUACAUAAAGCCAUAUGACAUUAAAAUAUGAUUUGGAAAGGAAUUCAAUUCGAAGUAUGUGCACAAGAGUAAUAGGCGUAAUACUGGACCACAAUAUCUCCUUUGAAAUGGAAAACGAUCAUAAAAAUUUACCAUAUCGAUCACUUUCAACUUAGUUCUUUCACAUCUAAUUUUUGCUUACUUGAGAAGUGCCUGAUAGAACAUCAAAAAAUAGUUAGUUAACUGAAAAUAUAGUCAAAAUAAGGUGCUUGCAGAUGUGAUGCUGUGCAAGUGGAAACGACUUAACUUCGGCACCAGAUUAUAUAUUGCUCUUCAAAGGGUAUCUUACUUAUAUCCUUGCACAAUAAUUAUUACUCGGAACAUUUAAAAGCCUUUCUGGCCAAAAAGAAAAGAAUUUUAACAUGCUAGUUGGUGUAAAUAAUCAUCUUUUACUUGAAAACAUCAAAAGGGAAGACGUAAGCUUUUGUUAUAUGCUAGUAAUUUCAAAGUGAAUAGAUGUAACGAACAUAUCACAAUGUAAAUGAAAACAGACCAUGAAAAUCUCUCUAGAGUUGCAGUCAAUUAUAGCAGCAUAAUUAAUAAACAUUUUAGGGACAAAAUUUGAAACGACAAUAAGUUUACCGACAGUGGUUAAACUGUCGUUCAUGAAUACAAGCUUUAGCUUUGUUAGGUCAGCAAUCAGCUCAACAAAUUUUCCAAGUUUUGAAGAAGCGAAAUCACUAACAUAAUAAGUUUUACAAAAACAUCAAUCAUUUACCAUAAUAUUACAAUAGUAACAAUAACAACAAUGUGCUUAUUAUGAAUGUCCAAAAGACCUAACAUAAACUAAUCAAUUUUAUAACUAACACAAAGGAAUUAUCACAAAAAACGAAAGUCAAGUAAAUAGGGGCCUAAUACAAUAGGAAAUAAUGCUUUCUGCACAAAGAAGAAAGUUUAUAAAACUUCUGAAGGCAAGAGUCAAGUAAAAAAAAAAAAAAAAUACUGGAGGAGUUAUUCAAUGCCUUUAAAGUAAUUUCAACAACAGGAAAUGACUGGUAGCAAGUUGAACAUCUGGGAGGAAUGCCUUCUCUGUUUCAUUAGAAGCGUUGAGUGGAGCAAACAGCUAAGCCCUUUUCUCUCUACUCCAUGGGUGAGCCGCCGCCACCUCCAAUCAACAACCAUCACCACCCGCCGCCCAAGCCACUGGACUCACCCACCACCGGAAUCCUCUCACCGCCUUCUACAACCUCC